This 496-nucleotide ribosomal RNA is filed under the name uncultured bacterium. RNAcentral describes it as "partial 16S ribosomal RNA". It matches the Rfam family "Bacterial small subunit ribosomal RNA", at positions 28 to 506 of the family's 1533-position model. The record is from RNAcentral.
GAUGAACGCUGGCGGCGUGCCUAAUACAUGCAAGUCGAGCGAACGGACGAGAAGCUUGCUUUUCUGAUGUUAGCGGCGGACGGGUGAGUAACACGUGGAUAACCUACCUAUAAGACUGGGAUAACUUCGGGAAACCGGAGCUAAUACCGGAUAAUAUUUUGAACCGCAUGGUUCAAAAGUGAAAGACGGUCUUGCUGUCACUUAUAGAUGGAUCCGGGCUGCAUUAGCUAGUUGGUAAGAUAACGGCUUACCAAGGCAACGAUGCAUAGCCGACCUGAGAGGGUGAUCGGCCACACUGAAACUGAGACACGGUCCAGACUCCUACGGGAGGCAGCAGUAGGGAAUCUGCCGCAAUGGGCGAAAGCCUGACGGAGCAACGCGGCGUGAGUGAUGAAGGUCUUCGGAUCGUAAAACUCUGUUAUUAGGGAAGAACAUAUGUGUAAGUAACUGUGCACAUCUUGACGGUACCUAAUCAGAAAGCCACGGCGAACUACGU